UACGAAAGGUGCAAGCGUUACUCGGAAUCACUGGGCGUAAAGCGCACGUAGGCGGACUCGUAGGUCAAUUGUGAAAUACCUGGGCUCAACCCAGGAACUGCAGUUGAAACCACUUGUCUUGAAUACCUGAGAGGGUGGGGGAAUACCUGGUGGAGAAGUGAAAUUCGUAGAGAUCAGGUGGAACACCGGAGGCGAAGGCGCCUGCCUGGCAGUGUAUUGACGCUGAGGUGCGAAAGUGCGGGGAGCAAACAGG
Molecule: ribosomal RNA, 253 nt
Filed under: uncultured bacterium
Lineage: Bacteria
Also listed under: 1 other name
Description: partial 16S ribosomal RNA
Rfam family: Bacterial small subunit ribosomal RNA
Source: RNAcentral